GACGGAGGAUGCAAGCGUUAUCCGGAAUGAUUGGGCGUAAAGCGUCCGCAGGUGGCAGUUCAAGUCUGCUGUCAAAGACCGGGGCUUAACUUCGGAAAGGCAGUGGAAACUGAACAGCUAGAGUAUGGUAGGGGCAGAGGGAAUUCCUGGUGUAGCGGUGAAAUGCGUAGAUAUCAGGAAGAACAUCGGUGGCGAAGGCAGCCCCCUGGGUCAAGAUUGACGCUCAUGCACGAAAGCGUGGGGAGCAAACAGG
RNAcentral lists this ribosomal RNA (253 nucleotides) under uncultured bacterium. RNAcentral describes it as "partial 16S ribosomal RNA". It matches the Rfam family "Bacterial small subunit ribosomal RNA", at positions 524 to 776 of the family's 1533-position model. The record is from RNAcentral.